Cervus elaphus (red deer) is the source of this 1319-nucleotide long non-coding RNA. RefSeq lists it as uncharacterized. Lineage: Eukaryota; Metazoa; Chordata; Mammalia; Artiodactyla; Cervidae. The record is from RefSeq and is a predicted model, not a curated record. The transcript is spliced from 3 exons.
AGGGAAAGAAGGGGGCGGAGGUCCACAGAGGCAGUGGGCGGAGUGACCGCAGGCGGCCUGAGCUGGCGGAAACCCAACGCGAGCUGGCUCUUCUGGAGGUUGAGGCCAGCUGGACAUUCUCAGGAGCAUGUACCCUGAGCCACUCAGCGCUUUGCGUCGGAUGUAACUGCCCCUCUGGACUGCUAAACUAAGGAGUGCGGAGCCACUUGGACACGCGCGUUUUAGACUUUAGGGACCUCGGAGACCACUUGAGUCUGUCAGCCUCAGUCCUGUGGGACUCUGCAACCCUAUCGUGGACUGUAGCCAGCCAGGCUCCUCUGUCUAUGGAAUUUUUUAGGCAAGAAAACUGGAGCUGUUUGUCAUUUCCUACUUCAGAGAUCUUCCUUCCCAAACCAGGGCUGGAACCGGUGUCUCUUGCGUCUCUUGCAUUGGCAAGUGGAUUCUUUGCCACUGCGUCACCGUGGAAGCCCAGAGACCACUUUCCCAUCCCAAACCACCUCUGGUAUAUCGGAAGAGCUUUUAGCUGCCUGUACACAUGUUAUUCUUUCUUAUGUCAUCUGGCCAAAGGAAGCCUUGACUGUAAAGGAGAAUACCACUGUAUGGCGACCACUGAGAAAUGAGACAGGAAGCUCCACAAAUACUGGUUAGUUCCUUGAGGAAGGAGACUGCCAUGAAAUUGGACAAUCAUUGUGGAUUGCCUCUGGAUAUCUGCUCAAACACAUCCUCCAACACAUCCCCUAAGAGCUCUUGUUUGCUGGUCAGUUUCAGGCCACAGCAAUCAGAAAAGAAGAAAUAAAAGGAAGAGAAGAAAAUUGGAAGAGAAGAAAAACUCUAUUUACAUAUGACCUGAUAUUAUAGAUAGAAAACCCUGAAGUCUCUAUCAAAAAAGAGAAAUUAAGGAAAUGAUCCCGUUUACAAUCACAUCAAAAAGAAAGAAGUACCUAGGAAUAAACUUAACCAAGAAUGUGAAAGACCUAUACUCUGAAAGCUAUAAAUCAUUAAUGAAGGAAUUUGAAAAUGAUACAAAGAAAUGGGAAGAUAUCCAUAAGGGAUUAAUAUCCAACAUAUAUAAACAGCUCAUGUGCUGUGCUAUGCAGUGCUCAAUCGUUUAAGUCAUGUCCAUCUCUCUGCAGCCCCAUGGACCGUAGGCCACCAGACUCCUCUGUCCGUGGGAUUUUCCCUGCAAGAGUACUGGAGUGGGUUGCCAUGCCCUCCAGGGGUUCUGAGUGAUAGAAACUGAGUCUCCUAUGUCUCCUGUAUUGCAGGCAGAUUCUUUGUUACUGAGCCAUCAAGAAAGCCCAAACAGCUCAUAUAAUUAU